This 116-nucleotide non-coding RNA is filed under the name human gut metagenome. The record is from RNAcentral.
AUUUCUUUUAACGCAUUUUUGCCAUCACUUCCCGUUUCUUUCACGAAUUCAUCAUAAAAAGGCUUCAUUGCUUUUUUGAACGGAUCUAGAUUUGGAUAAGUCACCACAACGCCCUG